This 1739-nucleotide long non-coding RNA is filed under the name Homo sapiens (human). Its description in RNAcentral is "HSALNT0365021". The record is from RNAcentral. Lineage: Eukaryota; Metazoa; Chordata; Mammalia; Primates; Hominidae.
GUAAGAUAGUUCCACAAUUAGCUUGAGAAUGCCACUCUUCAUAUCCAGAGAUGGCACCAUCAGAACUGGAAAAAGGGCUUUUGGCUAGGCAGGUAAUCACUUUGAGCCUCAGUUUUCCUGUCUGUAAAAGAAGAAGAACAACCCCAAGGCUGCUUGUUAGCAUGAGAAACAGAGGAAGAUGGCUCACUUAAAUAGAACCAGGAAAAUAUUUGCAGAAAGCAAGGCCAGACGGGCUGCAAAAACCUCUUGGGGGGCCUCUGGAUGCAGAUGCAAAGACCGAAAAGUGCAAGACAGGGAACUGGUAACAACUCUAGGUAACUUAGCUUUUUAAUGAGGUAAACCUUCAGCCAGCAGCAGAAACGCUUUUACCCACAAACCAGAGGCCAGAAAUGCAGUGAUGCAGCCUCCAAUGUUCUCACUUGGUAGUAACAGGGGGGUACAGUAAGGCCUUCCUGCUCUGUGCAGCAUCAUCCAUUAGAAAACAAAAAAGGUACGGUAAGUGCCACUGAGCUUCUCCAUUAAUUGCUAAGUAAGGGGAAAAAAAGAGAAGAAUAAAGUGCUUUUACCUGCUCAGCUGGCUAAUUAAAAGCUGCCUGAAGCCCUGCUAACCUUUUUCAUUAUGGCAGUGUUCAUUAUAAAGCCAGAAAGAAUUAACUACACUGCAUUAUCAGAUAUCGAAAAAUAUUAAUAGCAAAAGUGAGAAAGGGAAAGAAGGAAUUUUGGGCGAGUUAAUUAAACCACAUGUCCUCAAUGACUUAUUAAGUGACUGGUCGAGCUUCCUGGAGCUUGGUGAGUCCCAGAGAGCAAGGCGAUGUGCUCCUGCUCCUCAGGAAAUGAGUUUCCAGCCCGCGGAACUAUUUUUUUUUCUUCCUCUGUGGCAAAUUUUUCUUUCUUUCUUUCUGUCUUUCCAAAUAUUGCCAAGUGAGUUAAGUCCUGAAUUGGGACCAUCUUGGAGCCAACAGAAACAGGAACUCACUGAGAGCUCUUAAAGGUCACUACUGAGGGAUGGCUUUGGCGGUGAGUUUUCUCUAUCGUUCAGCAAAACCCUUUUAGUUCUGCAACUGAACAAGUGAGAACAUUUUAUAAUGAGGUCUCUUUGCUACUUUUGUAACCAAAGCCCAUGAAUGAGUUCAUGACAGGCCUGCCACCCUUAUCACAUUCCCUUCAACAAGGCCUGGUACAACAGUCUGGCACAGGGCAUUACACUGGGAUUUGCACUUAGGGCCUUGAGAGCUGUCUGGAGUAAGCAGACUAUCGACUCUCCACCUACAAAGAAGCCGUACGCACAACUCUGUUCUACAAAACCUCUUUGUGUGAGUUCAACUGUGACCACAGGAUGGAUAAGGUACCAAAAAUUAAAAGCAAAGAUGCUUAAAUCAACUGCAGUCCUUCUGGGCAGAUGUUCCUAAAUGCAAUCCAUCUAAGAGGAAAGAGUUUUUGAGGGAAGGGUGAUCACUGGGCCUCUACAUGCCACACCCGGAAGGCCCAGCAGUGGGGCAAGGAUAGAACACACAGUUUGGCGAUGUGACCCUGCCUGUCUGCACACCUCAGGAUCCCACCACCCAACAGGCAUACAUCUCCUGGAGCUACAGAGAUGCCAAAUGCCAGAGAAGGGAAGCAGGAAGGGAGAUGAAGACAAGGAACUCUGAAAAAUGGAAGCAGAAACACAGGCUGUAUUUUCCCCUAUCCUUCUUUUCUUUGUUCCCUUUUUUCUCUUUUGAAUGAAAAAUAAAAAUGCA